This 492-nucleotide ribosomal RNA is filed under the name uncultured bacterium. RNAcentral's name for it is "partial 16S ribosomal RNA". It matches the Rfam family "Bacterial small subunit ribosomal RNA", at positions 29 to 507 of the family's 1533-position model. The record is from RNAcentral.
AGUGAACGCUGGCGGUAGGCCUAACACAUGCAAGUCGAACGGCAGCACAGUAAGAGCCUGCUCUUACGGGUGGCGAGUGGCGGACGGGUGAGGAAUACAUCGGAAUCUACUUUUUCGUGGGGGAUAACGUAGGGAAACUUACGCUAAUACCGCAUACGACCUACGGGUGAAAGCAGGGGAUCUUCGGACCUUGCGCGAUUGAAUGAGCCGAUGUCGGAUUAGCUAGUUGGCGGGGUAAAGGCCCACCAAGGCGACGAUCCGUAGCUGGUCUGAGAGGAUGAUCGGCCACACUGGAACUGGAACACGGUCCAGACUCCUACGGGAGGCAGCAGUGGGGAAUAUUGGACAAUGGGCGCAAGCCUGAUCCAGCCAUACCGCGUGGGUGGAGAAGGCCUUCGGGUUGUAAAGCCCUUUUGUUGGGAAAGAAAAGCAGCAGGUUAAUACCCCGCUGUUCUGACGGUACCCAAAGAAUAAGCACCGGCUAACUUCGUG